Molecule: long non-coding RNA, 5000 nt
Organism: Taeniopygia guttata (zebra finch)
Lineage: Eukaryota; Metazoa; Chordata; Aves; Passeriformes; Estrildidae
Source: Ensembl
UUUUUUUUUUUUUUUUUAAAGGGACUUGACCCUCAGUCUCCCUCGCAGCUCUCGGGAAGCAGCAGCAUUGUUUGCCAAGAGCAGCCGCAGCCUCCUCACAAAUCUCGCUUUGUCGCGGGCUUCAGAAAACACAGGGAGGGUUUGUGGCUUUUCCUCCCCCCACACCCCCCCCUUUAAUUAUUAUUGUUAUUAUUAAAGAUGGCAAGCUCUGCUUUUCCUUAGCCAGAGCAGCUCAGAGAAUGCCGAAUGCCACCUCGCGGCCAGAACUCGAGCACAGGAGCGGGACAGAGGCUGAUGGACCCAAAGCCCAUCCCUGUCCUGCCCGGGACACCUCCCCUGUCCCAGCUGCUCCAAACCCUGUCCAGCCUGGCCUUGGGCACUGCCAGGGGAGCACAGCCUCUCUGGGAAUCCCAUCCCACCCUCACAGGGAGGAAUUCCCUCCCAAUAUCCCACUAACCCUGCCCUCAAGGCUGUUCCCUCUCAUCCUAUCACUGCAUCUUUGUUUUCUGCACAGCCAGAAGAGACGUGCUGAGCUGCCUUUGUUCCCCACAUAGGCAACAUCUGAGUUUAAAGACCUUUAAAAACCUGGGGCAGCUUCACAGGAGUGAAAAGCCACGCCAGGCUUCCUGCCCUGCAUUUUCUCACACCUCAGGAGCACUCAGCAGUGCCUGUGCUCAUCAAAGUCUGCCCCAAAUCACCACCCUCACCAAACUCGGCUCAACCUCUAAAGCCUAAACUGAGUUCCAAGGAAACUGAGUGGAAAAUAGAACUCCUGCACUCACCUCCCUUGUCUCCUUCCACAAACAGCACCACGGGCUCUAAAAGCAGAUGGGACAGCUCGAAAGGAGCACCGUCCCCCAGAGGAGGACCCCUGGCACCUCCAGUUUGCUUUUACUGGUACAGCAGCUCCCAAAUGUCCCUCCCAGACCCCCAGGCCACACCAACAAACCCAAUGUCCUAAGUGCCAACACCUGGUGAGUGGAGCAGCCUCAUGGGGGUUCCAGGGCAUGCAAUGCACCUGUGCCAGGCUUAAAGCAUGGCAUUUGUCCUUCAAACAUCCUCAGCCAAAGGUGGGGGAGAUCAGAUUCUCUGUGGGCUCAGAGUGACACAAAGCCCAGGAAAGCUUGGGGAAAAGCCAAGGAAUGAAGCAUCAGAUGGAGCUGUGAGUGCUCUGAGAUGCAGGGAGCUGCUGACCAAGGGAACACUGAGCUUUAUCCUGAAAUUCAGAAUUCCUUCAGGGCUAAUCCUCUUCAUAUGCCUGCCUUAAGAUUGUGCACUUUUGUUUAGGGUCUGGUAAGAGCAGCACCAACACUCUGGCUCCUGUGGGACACAGGAGGGGUGUUGGAAUAUCUCUGCCCUUUCCCCCCUCACUAAAAGUGCCAGAAUAAAAACAUUUUGAAGAUUGCAGGUUGUGUGUGAGAGACCUCGGGAAGACUGAGUGUGCUCUAGGCUCUGUGUGAGAGGCAAUAAGGAGGUGAUUUAAUUGCACACAGCUGUGCAAAGGUUAAUGAAGCUCCAGCUGGUGCCUUUGGGUUUGGGGGUACCUUUGGGUGACUCUGGGGUGGUUCCCUUUGGCCCCCAGGUGGCUGACCUGGAGGAUGGGUAGUGGCUUUUGUCAACACCUAAAAAUCACAUUCCCUGUUUUUCAGGGCCUCAGGAAGCUGUCACAGCACCAUGUGGAAGCUGCCCACACUCCCCAGUGUUAUUCUCACAAUGAAAUGAUCACCACAGGAAUUCCUGCCCGCUGCAGCCACCUCAGAGUCCCUGGCUGUGUCUGCAGUGCUGUAACUCAGCUCAGCUGGGCUGGAACUGGCCCCAGUGCACUCUCCUGCUGCUCUGGGAUAGCAGACUGGGACAGUCCUGGCAUAGCUCUGGGAUAGACUCCUCUGGAUGGGAGUCGAGGGCCUUUUCCAUCUCAGCUGUGCAACUCGAGGCUGACACUCAGUGGCCAAGAGGAUUUUUUUCUUCCCUGGACUGCUGUAAUGUUUCAAGGGAUCAGGAGCUCCCUGGGGUGGAAACGUCUCCACUGAAUGCCAUGGGCUGAUCCAGACCUCCCCAGAAGGUGCUGAGGCUCCUCACCAGCCCCAGUGCAUUGCCAUGUCACGGUGUGAGGCAGCACAGCAGAGCCUGAGUGGCUCAGCCUGGGGCAUGCUGCCAUUUGGGUUAGAGAAAGGGAAAUACUCAACCUUGAUUGUAAAGAUUUGAGCAACAAGGAUCUCAGCCUUGCAUUAUGGUAGGGACAGAACAACUCUGUAAAUCCUACAAAGGAGACUCCCCCUAAAAAAGGUAAAUUCACUGCUUUGCACUUAUUUUCUUCUGCCUUUUGUGCCCCCUGAAACAAGAUUUUUAAUGAGAAGCAUCUUUCCCCAAGCAGGGAAGGAAGGUCCUACCUGAGAGUGCCUGGUUUGUACCAUGGGGCCUGCCCAGCUCUCUGGGUGUGCUGAGAUGAAAAGAGCAGUGGAAGGGCUCAAAUGAGGCAAAAUAUUUUUGUGGAGGUGUUCUUAGAAGAAAAAGGGUAGAGUAAUGACAAACAGGCCAGAGUUAUUCCAUGAUGAAGGAAUUUAAUUGAUAGCUCUGCUCACCAACUGAUCUGUUCCAGUCCUCAAUCCUCAGGAAGGAACCUCUUGAAGGAAGAGAUGCCAGGCAGUAACUCCAGCAGGGCUGGCUUUGGGCAGCAGCUGCAAGGCUGCUGCUGGAGCAUCCCCACAAGGCUCAGGAAAGGCAUGAUUUACACAAAGUCACCAUUAUGGCAGUAGGUGAGGGCCAAAUAUUGAAGGACAUCAAGCUUGAUGCAUGAGCCAAGAUUGAAUUGGGGUCCUUCAAAAACCAGAAAAGAAAGGCAAUUAUCAUGAGACAUAGAUUAAGAUGCUGUUAAGUGCUCUGGGUCAAGUCAGCUCUGAGCAGAAGGACAGAGGUGCUUAGAGCCACCCUUUUCAUUGACUGGGUAUUUCAGGGGAGUUCAGUACGAGCUCAAACACUCUGGGACCAAAAUUCAGCCUCCUUAAGCUUCGUGGGAAGGAUCUGUAAGGGUUUGCUUCGGGUCAUUUAUGGGGGCUGUGACCCCACCCUGUUCCAGUCCUGAUCUGCAGAGAUGUUGAACCCUUUGCACAGCUGCUGAAGCCCUUGGUUUCUGUUUGAUUCAAGGUGGAAGAGCAGCAAUUGUGCAUUGGUCAUUCCCCAAGGGAAACAAAGGCCAGGUCACUUAGAAUUCCUUUGCUUGCACUCACCAUGAACCUCAUAAGCCACAUAAGUUGAGAGCCCUUUGCACGUAGAGAAGAUGUCUGGACCAUAUGAUUCAAGGUCACGAAUAACUCUCUUCACAAGGGUGAAUGUGAUCUCCUUUGUAGGGGUUCUUGGAUGAUUCUGGUUCUAAACAUCAAAAACCAGCAUUCAGCAAGAUCCGUGCCCUGCUCUGUUUAACUCCAGGCAUAUUCCCAGCUUUAGCUGUUAUAAACAUCUUAAGAAUAAUCUAACUGAGCUACAACAUUGGCCAAACCUGUAAACCCUCUACUGGAAGUAUCUGAACAAGGGUAUUCCAAUUGCCAAAAGUUUAAAGUCACAUUGAUGUAAAAUGUCAGUGAAAUUGAUAAAAAUAUCUAAUUAAUGGUGUGACAAACCUGGUCUUUAAAGUACCUGUUGGUUUUGAAAAUAGCAAGGCCUCAGGUAUCAGUAUACUUUGCAUUAAGUACAACUUUCCAAGUAACUGCUCCUUUUCAACCUUACCCUGAUGUCUGCAGCCAGCUGGGGAAGAGAAUCAAAGCUGGGCAUCUCUGUUCUGUUCAUUAUGGAAAUGUAGCAAGCUCUCUCUGGCAGCACUUUGGUUGCCAUAAAGCCCUGUAAAAUAAAGUUAUGGACCACUGGGAAUUUAAUCAUUAAUAUUGGAAUUUCAUGCCUAUUUAAAAACGUAUAAAAAGAGUUUUUACUGAAUAUAUGAGCAAGAAUAAGAGACUGCACUCACUGUGUCAUAGUUCCAGAUGGUUUUCCAGUACCCAUAGCUGGUCUUUUGCUCAAUACUUGCCACCAGCCAUUUCUUAUUGAUGGUCAUAAUUUGGUAAGUUCCACCAAUGGAGAUUUUUUUGCUUACUUCAGUCUGUUGAUGCUAGAAAAACAAAUUAAAGAGCACUUUGGCUUUCAAGUGAUUAUCUGCCCAAGGCUUUAGAAAAAUGAAAGGCUCAAGGAGAUCUCUGAAGCAGGGAAGAGAUCAUAGAAAGAGCAGCAAUGUGGAAAUUGUUCAUUUGUACUCACAUAAUCAGCAAGGGCUGGAGUCAGGAUGAGUCCAAGAAGGACUGCAGUCAAAAUCUGAAAUGAAAAUCAAAUACAAAAUGUAACUGCAGCUCUGGCUGACAAAUCUGGUCAUGACAAUCCUCCUCCCCUUUUCCUAAUCUGAUGUUUAAGGCUCCUCUUUGGCUCCUUUUUUUGCUUUCGACCUGGGAUUGCAUCAGUGCCCCCAAAGGGAGGCACCCUUGCUUUACCCCAGGCUGCUCAAAGUAGACACAUUUCCCACUUGCUCUCUCAAGAGCUGUUUCUCAGCCCUGUGCAGGCACACACAGGUAUUUUACAGGAGUGAGGAGAAAGCUUUGCCAUUUCUUCUGCUCUGGCAUUGCAGGGAAGGGCUUGAUGCACUCGUGCAGUGCUCCAGUGGUGCAAAAGCAUUGACAAGAAUGGGCAUGGAUUAGGCUUCCUGUUUUCUGAAUCAUGUACAGCCAAGCCAUGAAGAAAUCCUUACCUCCUCAGCUCCUCUGGGGAGCAGGGGCUGAGCUGCUCCUUCUGCAGGAGCACAAUGGCCCCAGAGAGGGAGAAGCCCUUCUGAGAGAUAAAGGAACGGGUUUGAAUCAAAGUUUCAGUUUGUAAGGAAGAAAAGCACGCAUACUUACAGGGAGAUGCAUCCUGACUGCAGAGCUGAUGCUGCUGAAGGCAGAAUAAAUCAUGUGAGCCUCCCACCUUUUAUUUGUUUUCAGAAUUAGGUGUGGAAGGGCUGAAUGCUGCAAUAAAAUUAUUUU